CCUACGGGUGGCAGCAGUGAGGAAUAUUGGUCAAUGGCCGAAAGGCUGAACCAGCCAAGUCGCGUGAGGGAUGACGGCCCUAUGGGUUGUAAACCUCUUUUAUCGGGGAGUAAAGCGAACCACGUGUGGUUCAUUGAGAGUACCUUAAGAAUAAGGAUCGGCUAACUCCGUGCCAGCAGCCGCGGUAAUACGGAGGAUCCGAGCGUUAUCCGGAUUUAUUGGGUUUAAGGGGUGCGUAGGCGGAUGUGAAAGUGAGCGGUAAAAUUGCGGGGCCCAACCCAGGAAUGCCGUUGAAACUGGGGGCCUUGAGUGUGCUAGAGGUAGGCGGAAUGCGUGGUGUAGCGGUGAAAUGCAUAGAUAUCACGCAGAACCCCGAUUGCGAAGGCAGCCUACC
This 394-nucleotide ribosomal RNA is filed under the name uncultured bacterium. Its description in RNAcentral is "partial 16S ribosomal RNA". It matches the Rfam family "Bacterial small subunit ribosomal RNA", at positions 338 to 730 of the family's 1533-position model. The record is from RNAcentral.